GCCCGGUUAGCUCAAUCGGUAGAGCGUGAGACUCUUAAUCUCAAGGUUGCGGGUAGGUUCAAGUUACAUCUUGAA
This is a non-coding RNA of Xylaria digitata, 75 nucleotides long. Lineage: Eukaryota; Fungi; Ascomycota; Sordariomycetes; Xylariales; Xylariaceae. The record is from the annotation of a GenBank genome assembly.